This 1221-nucleotide small RNA is filed under the name Arabidopsis thaliana (thale cress). RNAcentral's name for it is "ATSL231190". The record is from RNAcentral. Lineage: Eukaryota; Viridiplantae; Streptophyta; Magnoliopsida; Brassicales; Brassicaceae.
AUUAUUAAAAAAAAAAAACGUAUAAAAUUGUAGUCUCAAUAUUGAAAUACAAACACCUAGAAUUGAUCGAUUUGGUAGAGAACUAGUUAGUGGAUUAAAUUUGGGUUGGCUGAUUUUCGAGCCAUAAACUAUUUCGAUUCUCAGCUUUCACACCCGGACUUUUGGGCCUUUAAAUUUCCACCAUCAACUUUCAUAUUCCCAAAAUUACAUCAUCUAUUUUUGGAUUCAUGCUUAAACAUACAUUUCCAAUUGAACCAUUCAUUUAACCGGGAUUAACCACAAAUCCGCGUUUACUGUACCGCGAUUGCGAUUAACCCAACUAAUACCCAGACCCGUUAAGAAAACGACGUCGUUUUCAUUUCGUUUAACUCAUCAAAAAGAGAAAGAAAACGACGUCGUUUUCAUUCUUCUUCUUUAACUCUCAAAUCGAUUUAGUCGUUCUUCUUUAAUCUCGACACUGUGAAAUUAGGGUUCUUGAGAGAGAAAGACAAAAGGGGAUUUGGGGUUUUCUUCUUCGGUUCGAAUUUUUGGGUCUCGAUUUGGGUUUCGAAUAGGGAGAAAUGAAGAAUUGGUGGGAGGAAAGAUUGAUUUACCAAAGCGAUCCAGAUGACCCCGAUUUCGAACCUCCAGAGAGUGACAUUGAAGCCGACGAUGGAAGUGAUAGUGGUGAUAGCGGAGUCGAGGAGGACGAAGCCACCAGAAUCGAGGGAGAGGACGUCGGGAUAGAUGGAGACAGAGCUUCUGAUGGAGAGGAAAAUAGAGAAGACGAUGGUGACAUAGCGUCUGAUGGAGACGUCAAUCUAGAAGACGAUGGAGACAGAGAUGAAAGUCAAAAGAAGAGGACUACCAAAUCGAUUUGAGAGUUAAAGAAGAAGAAUGAAAACGACGUCGUUUUCUUAACGGGUCUGGGUAUUAGUCGGGUUAAUCACAAUCGCGGUACAGUAAACGCGGAUUUGUGGUUAAUCCCGGUUAAAUGAAUGGUUCAAUUGAAAAUGUAUGUUUAAUCAUGAAUUCGAAAGUAGAUGAUGUAAUUUUGAGGAAUAUGAAAAUUGAUGGUGGAAAUUUAAGGGCCCAAAAAUCCGGGAGUGAAAACUAAGAAUCGAAAUAGUUUAUGACUCGAAAAUCAGCCAACCCAUUAAAUUUUCGAACCUUCAUCAUUUUGCAGACCCCAAAAACGGAAAUCAUCAAAUCAUCCACCGUGCCAGCGUGACAUUACAAAAU